GGGCCCGCACAAGCGGAGGAACAUGUGGUUUAAUUCGAUGAUACGCGAGGAACCUUACCCGGGCUUGAAUUGCAGAGGAAUGGGGGAGAGAUCCUUCAGCCGCAAGGUCUCUGUGAAGGUGCUGCAUGGUUGUCGUCAGCUCGUGCCGUGAGGUGUCGGCUUAAGUGCCAUAACGAGCGCAACCCCUGUUGCCAGUUGCCAUCGGACAAUGCCGGGCACUCUGGCGAGACUGCCGUCGUAAGAUGCGAGGAAGGCGGGGAUGACGUCAAAUCAGCACGGCCCUUACGUCCGGGGCUACACACGUGUUACAAUGGGGGGUACAGCAGGAAGCGAAGCAGCGAUGCGGAGCGGAUCCCUAAAGCCCCUCCCAGUUCGGACUGGAGUCUGCAACCCGACUCCACGAAGCUGGAUUCGCUAGUAAUCGCGCAUCAGCCAUGGCGCGGUGAAUACGUUCCCGGGCCUU
Molecule: ribosomal RNA, 463 nt
Filed under: uncultured bacterium
Lineage: Bacteria
Description: bacterial SSU rRNA
Rfam family: Bacterial small subunit ribosomal RNA
Source: RNAcentral